CUUUGGCCGGGUUGAGUGGCACGCAUGUGACAUGCGCGUGAAUGGUUCACCAAAAUGGGCUCCUCAUGCUUCUCUAUAUAAACCGUGAUGCCACUCACCGGUGAAAUCAAUCUAGAGUUUGCUUCCUUGGCUCCUUUGUAUGGCGACAUCGCUCAUAGUCUACUCCAUCCCACUCGUCGGAGCAACUCCAUCCCCCGUCCAGCUCGCCGGCGUGUACUGGUUAUUAGGAGAGCAGGUCUCAAAAAAGGUUUUUGGGAAGCGCUCCACGUGACUUCUUGUUGUUCGUCAACUACGGCUCCUCAUUGCUCGAGUGAUGCGUGCUGUCGUCAACACCCGGUACCGCGAGUGGUUCCUGUUGUGCAGCAGAACAUCCAGAACCCUUGCUUCAUCGAUGACAUCGACUGCAUCCUCUAUGAUGGUAACGACCGCAUCACCGAUGAUGACAUCGAUCAUAUCAUCUACAACAACAAUGUCUCCAUCAACUCGGCAUCACUAUUUUGAUGACUGCUACACGACAUAGAAAGUCGUAGACUGCAAGAUAAUUGAGCUAUCGCCACCAAUUUAUUAUAACGAAAAAUAUUUCGUAGCAAUAUAUUAUAUUAUCGCAAUGAUAAUUUUUCUAUGGCAAAUAACUAUAUUUUGUUGCAACCAUUUAUAAUCGUUGUUUUAUUCAGUAUUUUUGUUGCAAUAGGAAAUGAGCUAUUGCCACAAAAAAACAUUACUAUUGCAAAAAGCAUGUUCUAUCACCACAAUUUUAAUUUAUGUGGCUAUUUGCAUAGUACAUGGUACUUUUGUUGCCACGAUAAAUAAAUUCGUUGCAAUAAAAAAAUUUAUCAUCUCA
Molecule: long non-coding RNA, 841 nt
Organism: Oryza sativa Japonica Group (Japanese rice)
Lineage: Eukaryota; Viridiplantae; Streptophyta; Magnoliopsida; Poales; Poaceae
Source: RefSeq, a predicted model, not a curated record